This 454-nucleotide ribosomal RNA is filed under the name uncultured bacterium. RNAcentral's name for it is "bacterial SSU rRNA". It matches the Rfam family "Bacterial small subunit ribosomal RNA", at positions 30 to 504 of the family's 1533-position model. The record is from RNAcentral.
UGAACGCUGGCGGCGUGCUUAACACAUGCAAGUCGAACGAUGAAGAGCAGCUUGCUGCUUGGAUUAGUGGCGCACGGGUGAGUAAUAUAUAGGUAAUGUGCCUCUUAGUCUGGGAUAGCCAUUGGAAACGAUGAUUAAUACCGGAUACUCCUUCUCAUAAUAAUAUGAGUCGGGAAAGUUUUUCGCUAAGAGAUCGGCCUAUAUCCCAUCAGUUAGUUGGUAAGGUAACGGCUUACCAAGGCAAUGACGGGUAGCGGGUUUGAGAGGAUGAUCCGCCACACUGGUACUGAGACACGGACCAGACUCCUACGGGAGGCAGCAGUGAGGAAUAUUGCACAAUGGGGGAAACCCUGAUGCAGCAACGCCGCGUGGAGGAUGACGCAUUUCGGUGUGUAAACUCCUUUUAUGAGUCAAGAAAAUGACGGUAGCUCAUGAAUAAGCACCGGCUAACUCC